UUGUCCACUCUUUUGAGAGGAGACAGUUAUGAAACGUGAGUAGAAGGGUCGAGUGUAAAAACCUUGACGUGAAGCAAUUGGAGGGCAAGUUUUGGUGCCAGCAGCCGCGGUAAUUCCAACUCCAAGAGUGUCUAUGGUGGAUGCUGCAGUUAAAGGGUCCGUAGUCGUAGAUGCAAUUAAAAGGUGGUGUUAAAAGCCAUUGAGUUUGUUGAGAGUAGCGGAACGGAUAGGGAGCAUGGUAUAGGUGGGCAAAGAAUGAAAUCUCAAGACCCCACCUGGACCAACGGAGGCGAAAGCGAUGCUCUUAGACGUAUCUGGGGAUCAAGGACGAAGGCUAGAGUAUCGAAAGUGAUUAGACACCGCUGUAGUUCUAGCAGUAAACUAUGCCGACAAUGCUGGGUGUUGCGAGAGCGAUGC
Molecule: ribosomal RNA, 417 nt
Filed under: Ecytonucleospora hepatopenaei
Lineage: Eukaryota; Fungi; Microsporidia; Enterocytozoonidae
Description: Enterocytozoon hepatopenaei partial 18S ribosomal RNA
Rfam family: Microsporidia small subunit ribosomal RNA
Source: RNAcentral